CCCUUAGAUGUUCUGGGCCGCACGCGCGCUACACUGACUACUUCAACGAGUUGUUUCCUUGAUCGAAAGGUCUGGGUAAUCUUUGAAAGGUAGUCGUGAUGGGGAUAGAUCCUUGCAAUUUUUGAUCUUCAACGAGGAAUUCCUAGUAAACGCAAGUCAUCAGCUUGCAUUGAUUACGUCCCUGCCCUUUGUACACACCGCCCGUCGCACCUACCGAUUGAAUGGUCCGGUGAAAUCUCCGGACUGGCGUGAGUCGGAGCAAUCUGACAAACGCCGGAAAGUUGAUUAAACCUUACCAUUUAGAGGAAGGUGAAGUCGUAACA
RNAcentral lists this ribosomal RNA (323 nucleotides) under uncultured eukaryote. RNAcentral's name for it is "partial 18S ribosomal RNA". It matches the Rfam family "Eukaryotic small subunit ribosomal RNA", at positions 1470 to 1796 of the family's 1831-position model. The record is from RNAcentral.